CCCCUUCGGGGGACAAAGUGACAGGUGGUGCAUGGUUGUCGUCAGCUCGUGUCGUGAGAUGUUGGGUUAAGUCCCGCAACGAGCGCAACCCUUAAGCUUAGUUGCCAUCAUUAAGUUGGGCACUCUAAGUUGACUGCCGGUGACAAACCGGAGGAAGGUGGGGAUGACGUCAAAUCAUCAUGCCCCUUAUGAUUUGGGCUACACACGUGCUACAAUGGACAAUACAAAGGGCAGCGAAACCGUGAGGUCAAGCAAAUCCCAUAAAGUUGUUCUCAGUUCGGAUUGUAGUCUGCAACUCGACUACAUGAAGCUGGAAUCGCUAGUAAUCGUAGAUCAUCAUGCUACGGUGAAUACGUUCCCGGGUCUUGUACACACCGCCCGUCACACCACGAGAGUUUGUAACACCCGAAGCCGGUGGAGUAACCUUUUAGGAGCUAGCCGUCGAAGGUGGGACAAAUGAUUGGGGUGAAGUCGUAACAAGGUAGCCGUAUCGGAAGGUGCGGCUGGAUCACCUCCUUU
Molecule: ribosomal RNA, 519 nt
Filed under: Staphylococcus aureus
Lineage: Bacteria; Bacillati; Bacillota; Bacilli; Caryophanales; Staphylococcaceae
Description: bacterial SSU rRNA
Rfam family: Bacterial small subunit ribosomal RNA
Source: RNAcentral